RNAcentral lists this unclassified non-coding RNA (253 nucleotides) under uncultured Sandaracinaceae bacterium. RNAcentral's name for it is "contains 16S-23S intergenic spacer region". It matches the Rfam family "Bacterial small subunit ribosomal RNA", at positions 524 to 776 of the family's 1533-position model. The record is from RNAcentral. Lineage: Bacteria; Pseudomonadati; Myxococcota; Polyangiales; Sandaracinaceae.
UACAGAGGGUGCGAACGUUGCUCGGAAUCACUGGGCGUAAAGCGCGUGUAGGCGGGCGGCCAAGUCAGGUGUGAAAUCCCUGGGCUCAACCCAGGAACUGCAUCUGAAACUGGUUGCCUCGAGUGUCGGAGAGGGAAGCGGAAUUCCUGGUGUAGAGGUGAAAUUCGUAGAUAUCAGGAGGAACACCGGUGGCGAAGGCGGCUUCCUGGACGACUACUGACGCUGAGACGCGAAAGCGUGGGGAGCAAACAGG